Molecule: RNA transcript, 2030 nt
Organism: Brassica napus (rape)
Lineage: Eukaryota; Viridiplantae; Streptophyta; Magnoliopsida; Brassicales; Brassicaceae
Gene name: patellin-3
Exons: 5
Source: RefSeq, a predicted model, not a curated record
UAGUUUUUUCUUUGUCUUCAGAGCUAACGACUCAACAAAAAAACCAGUUCGACCAGCGUGACCAAUAUACUCUUUAACUCACUUUUGUCUCUCCCUUUGUAAUAAUAAAACACAAAAUCACAAACACAAGAGAGCAAAAGUAAAAAAAAAUGGCAGAAGAAUCUAUCACCACCACCACUCUCGCUACACCGGAGAAUCAACCAUCAUCGGGGCUAACACCUCCACAAGAAUCAAAUUCUACUCAUCAAGUCUUGGCGACUGAGACUGAAACUCUAGAGCAAGCUACCGAGACUAAUCCACCGGAAACUGCAGUAACCGCGGCGGCUCAGCCUGAAGUAACACCGGAAGAGCAUCACCCACCAAAAGUAACGGAAACACAAACGGCGUCAACAGAGAAAAAAGAGACGUCGCAGAAGGAAGAAGCAUCUGAAGAGGACAAGAGAAUUCCACAGAAUCUUGGCUCUUUCAAAGAAGAGAGCAGCAAGCUCUCCGAUCUCUCCGAUUCCGAGAAGAAAUCUCUUGAUGAAUUGAAACAUCUUGUGCGAGAUGCUCUAGACAAUCACCAAUUCGGUUCAGUUCCUAAACCGGAAGAUGGCAGCAACGCACCUGAAGAAGUCACGAUCUGGGGAGUUCCUCUCCUCAAAGACGACAGAAGCGACGUCGUUUUACUGAAGUUCCUACGCGCUAGGGACUUCAAGGUGAAAGAUUCGCUGGCAAUGCUCAAGAACACAGUCAAGUGGAGAAGGGAGUUCAAGAUCGACGAGUUGGUCGAUGAAGACCUUGUGGAUGAUCUAGACAAGGUGGUGUUCAUGCAUGGGCACGACCGAGAAGGACACCCGGUGUGUUACAAUGUCUAUGGUGAGUUUCAGAACAAGGAGCUUUACAACAAAACGUUCUCUGAUGAGGAAAAGAGGAAACAUUUCUUGAGGACGAGGAUUCAGUUCUUGGAGAGGAGUAUAAGGAAGCUAGACUUCAGCUCCGGUGGAGUUUCCACCAUUUUUCAGAUUAACGAUAUGAAGAACUCUCCGGGACUGGGGAAGAAAGAGCUGAGAUCGGCGACCAAGCAAGCCGUGCAGUUGCUUCAGGACAAUUACCCUGAGUUUGUCUUCAAACAGGCCUUCAUCAAUGUUCCCUGGUGGUACCUUGUGUUUUACACUGUGAUUGGUCCGUUCAUGACACCAAGAUCAAAGAGCAAGUUGGUGUUUGCUGGUCCGUCAAGAUCAGCCGAAACUCUUUUCAAAUACAUAUCGCCCGAACAAGUCCCGGUACAAUAUGGAGGAUUGAGUGUAGAUCCUUGUGACUGCAAUCCAGACUUCUCUUUGGAAGAUCCAGCCUCAGAGGUCAUUGUUAAGCCUGGAACAAAGCAAACUGUUGAGAUCAUAAUCUAUGAGAAAUGUGAGAUUGUGUGGGAGAUAAGGGUAAUUGGAUGGGAGGUGCGCUACAAGGCAGAGUUUGUGCCUGAAGAGAAAGAUGCUUAUACGGUGGUUGUACAGAAACCGAGGAAGAUGAAACCAUUCGAUGAACCGGUGUUAACCCAGAGCUUCAAAGUGAAUGAGCUUGGCAAGGUUUUACUCACUGUAGACAACCCAACCUCUAAGAAGAAGAAGCUCGUUUACAGGUUCAAUGUCAAACCUCUCUGAUGUGAGAUGUCUUCUGUGCGUUUUUGUAUAUGUGAGUGUUUGGUUUAUCAUAUCAUAUCAUUUUGUAUUUGUGGCUUACACUUACACGAUGGAGGUUCUGCAUCUUUUGCUCAGGUGUCUGAAGAUUGGAGUGGGUGGAAGAAGUUGCAAUGGUCCUGCUUACCCAAGCUGUUGCAUCAUUCAAAUGCCAAUUAUGAAUCUGGAAAUUAUUUUCAAAAUGAAUGCUAAUUUCAACAGUAAACAGGUGUUUUAUUCAUUUUAAAAAACAUCCACCUACUAAUUUUAUCAUUUAUAUAUGGACAACUAAAAGUAUCUAAUCUAUGAGUGGUAUUGAUGGAUCAACAACCACAUCUAUUUUAAUUCAAAUCUUAGCUUAAAAUUAUUCUUUUU